Long non-coding RNA from Nothobranchius furzeri (turquoise killifish), 3549 nucleotides. NCBI's taxonomy places the organism in Eukaryota, Metazoa, Chordata, Actinopteri, Cyprinodontiformes, Nothobranchiidae. The record is from Ensembl.
AUGUGUGAAUGGAAUUCUGAACUAAUUACACAAACAAAUCAAACCUUCCUAACACUGUGUUGUGCUCUGAAUGUGUUUUUUUUUUUUUUUUUAAUAGUGACUCAUUUGUUGGGGGACGUUCCUCAAGAGGCCUUCCUGUUACCUUUCUGGGCCCACGUGAAAAUGGUCCAAGGUUUUCAGAGGACACAGGAGAAAUCAACUUAUAUGUGUAUUCUGAUAGUGAUGAGGAGAGUGACUCGCCUUCUACAUUUCACUAGGCCAGUCUAAAAGUCUGUUCUGUUAGACUUAAAAAUGCAUUAAGUAGAACUUAAGUAAAAAUCACAUCCUGUGGUAAAAGGUGAUUACUGCUACCAUGUCAAACAACUCUGAAGCUUUUUGCCGGCAUUCGUCAAAUUACAAUUGUCGGCGCUGCAGUAUUAGCUCACAGGAGAUGGUAACAGUAUUUACAUGCCUCCUUCCUUUGUUUUGAAUGAAGAAAAACUGAUGAUCCCUGCAGCGUGCUGAAUAUGAAAUAUGUUUUGGUGUAACUGUCCUUCCAAAAUGAUAACACUAGACUCUCUUGGGAUUUUCUCACUGGAAAAUUUUCACUAUAUUCGUACAUUCUGCACCUUUAAGCAUUUGUAGUUCUUUUGAAACAGUUAUUGUUAGUAGGCUGCGCCUUUUAAUGUUUUGUGCCAUGUGAAUGGAAACAAAAUAAGGGAAAUGUUUUUUUUUUUUUUUUUCAGUUUCUCUUCCAUUUCCCUUCAAUCUGCUUAACGGUUUAGUUCCUUUUCAAACCAGAAACUUCAGGUCAAGACUGGUUUGAGAUUCUAGAAACAAAUUUAAGUUAGAGUUCCAAUAAAAUGUCUUUAAGGGUCUGAUUUAUCUGCUUCUUCUUUGAAUGGACAAGAACCUUUUUAAUGACAAGACCUCAUUCCUUUAAAGUGCUUUGAUUGGUCAAUGGUCACCGUUGAAAAUCGGACUCGAUCAAGUGAUUUUGAAAGGAUAAGAAACGGGUGGAAAAGAUGAGAUUUAACCUUUAAAAACAACAAACCAUCCAUCCAUCCUCUUCCGCUUGUCCGGAGGCGGGUCGCGGGGGCAACAGCCUAAGUCAAGAAGUCCUGACUUCCCUCGACCCAGUCACUUGAGCCAGCUCAUCUGAGAGAAUCCCAAGUCGUUCCCUGGUCAGGUGGGAGACAUAGUCCCUCCAAUGUGUCCUGGCUCUCCCUUUAGGUCUCCUCCCGGUUGGAUGUGCCCAGAAAGCCUAACCAAGGAGGCAUCCUAAUCAGAGUCCUAAGCCACCACAAUGGACUCCUUAUCGAUGUGGAGGAGCAGUGGAUCUACUCCAAGCUUCUCCUGGAUGACCAAACUUCUCAUCACAUAUCUAAAGGAGAGCUCGGAGACCCUGCGGAGAAAACUCAUUUCAGCCGCUUGUAUCCGUGAUCCCGUUCUUUCGGUCACUUCCCAAAGCUCAUGGCCAAAGGUGAGGGUAGGAACGUAGAUCGACUGGAAAAUCGAGAGCCUCGCCAUAUGGCUUGGCUCUCUUUUCACCACGACAGACCGGUCCAAUUUCCAAUCACUGCAGACACAGCACCAAUCCGCCAAUCAAUCUUGCACUCCAGCUUUCCAUUACUCAUGAACAAGACCCUGAGAUAAUUUAAUUCCUCCAUUUGUGUAAGACCUCAUCUUUGAUUCAGAGAAGGCGUUACGACCUGUUCAAAAUAACAAACAUGACUUUAAAUUCGUCCUGAGAUAGCUAAUAGAGGUUUUUGGGUCCUUUUGGCCAGAAAAAUGCUUUUGAGCAACUCAAAAGUAAAGCACACAUCAACUCAUAGAGCUACAACGUUUCAGUGGUCUUGCAAGAGCCCCGGGAGACGGGAGCAGCUGGACGCCUUUGUCUAUAAGCUGUUCCCACACGGGAGAAGCCGGGAGCUCACCUUGACAUUAGCUUCAUGCUAACUUGAAUCCAACUGAGGUUUUCAGUUUCUUUUAGCGAGAAAAACAGUUGAGCGACUACUCAAAGUGAUGCAGUUUUUCUAUGGUCUUCAGAGAGCUCCACAGCCGACCAGCACAACUACAGGGUGGGCCUUUUAUAUGGAGACACCUUAAUAAAAUGGGAAUGGUUGGUGAUAUUAACGUCCUGUUUGUGGCACAUUAGUAUAUGUGAGGGGGCAAACUUUUCAAGAUGGGUGGUGACCAUGGUGGCCAUUUUAAAGUCGGCCAUCUUGGAUCCAACUUUUUUUUUUUUCAAUAGGAAGAAAGUUGCAUUGACAAUCCGUCACAAUGGGCAGCACAUUGAACUCAUUUUAUAAGUGGUUAGAAACUUGAAAAUAACUCAUGAAAAAAUAAAGUUACUUUAAAGCCAGGCACACCAUUGUUUUUCUUGUGAAAUUUCCAAUAAGUUUAAUGUGUCACAUGAUCCUCUUCCUAUUAAAAAAACAAAAGUUGGAUCCUAGAUGGCCGACUUAAAAAUGGCCACCAUGCGCGACAAAAUUAAUGUCAAGUCAAUGGGGCUAAAAGAGCUAUUUUCUAAUUUGCUUUGCCUUAGGCCCUGGAUAUGUUGUACUUCUAUUUACAUGAAAACUAAUGAUGGGUGUUUCGACCAUGCCUGUCACGUACUUUUGAGAUUUAUCAGCUUGUAAAAGUUCGUAAUUAGCAUAACUACUAAUUAGACAUUGACACGUUGCAUAUAUGACAUCACCACAGAAUCUCUUCUCUAGCGUAGCUGCUACUUACCACAUGGCCAGAUUUAUGGUGUUUUUUUCCACCUGAAGGAAUAUGUUUGAUAAACUUACAGCUAUUUUCCCUGUUUUUCUCCAUUUCCGGUUUGAUGAGGUCACUUUCGUGAUGAACAUUUGAAGUCCUUGACUUAUUUUCACACAAAACCUAAAAUUACGUUUUCCCCGUUCGAAAAAAAGCAUUUUCUUGGUAUCAAUAUGUCUUUAAAAUCACGAACACCAUAUGUGGAAUCUGUAGCACAUAACAAACUGGAUUAGAGAAUAACGUUUUUAGUCCCAUUGGCUUGCAUUCAGUUUUUUAUUUUUUAUUUUAUUUAUUUAUUAUUAUUUUUUUUUUUUUUUUUUUUUUUUUUUUUUUUUUUUUUUUUUUUUUUUUUUUUUUUUUGGGGUCCCAUGGUCCGGAUGUAGAUGACUAAUGGGCCAUUCCCAUCUGUAUCGGGUCGGCCCGGGCCGGGUAGCAUAGGUUGUUUACAUAUCUGGGUGGCCUGGUAUUUUUCCGGGCCAACCAAGGCUCAUUCUCAGCCCUCUUCUCGAGGGGGUCUGCUUCAGGCCGACCAGGGCUAACACACCCACUGCUGACAGCAAAUUCACACCUUCCAUUAGAGCAAGCCUCUGAUUGGUGGGUAGAAUCAGCCCACAUGGGCUUAAGACAAGGAUGUGUGGAAUCAACCGGGCCAGGCUGGGGCCGACUGGGGCUACCCGACCCGGUACAGAUGGGAAUGGCCCAUUAGGCUCCCUGUCGAACCGUGCCCCCAGACCAAUUGCGCCUCCCUCCAACCGGCUUUGGAGGAUAGAGUCCCAGGUGUGUGACAGGGUUUAUGCCCCCUCAUCC